This 77-nucleotide transfer RNA is filed under the name Clostridiales bacterium. RNAcentral describes it as "tRNA-Thr". It matches the Rfam family "tRNA". From Rfam's summary of the family: Transfer RNA (tRNA) molecules are approximately 80 nucleotides in length. Their secondary structure includes four short double-helical elements and three loops (D, anti-codon, and T loops). The record is from RNAcentral. Lineage: Bacteria; Bacillati; Bacillota; Clostridia; Eubacteriales.
GCUGAUGUUGCUUAAUUGGGUAAAGCAGUCGCCUUGUAAGCGUCAGAGUGUAGGUUCGAGUCCUAUCGUCAGCUCCA